This 516-nucleotide ribosomal RNA is filed under the name uncultured bacterium. RNAcentral's name for it is "bacterial SSU rRNA". It matches the Rfam family "Bacterial small subunit ribosomal RNA", at positions 8 to 518 of the family's 1533-position model. The record is from RNAcentral.
AGAGUUGAUCAUGGCUCAGGAUGAACGCUAGCGACAGGCCUAACACAUGCAAGUCGGGGGGCAGCGCGGAGUAGCAAUACUUGGCGGCGACCGGCGCACGGGUGAGUAACACGUAUGCAACCAACCCAUAACAGGGGGAUAACCCGGAGAAAUCCGGACUAAUACCGCAUAAGACCACGAUAUCGCAUGAUAUAGAGGUCAAAUAUUUAUAGGUUAUGGACGGGCAUGCGUCUGAUUAGCUGGUUGGCGGGGUAACGGCCCACCAAGGCAUCGAUCAGUAGGGGUUCUGAGAGGAAGGUCCCCCACAUUGGAACUGAGACACGGUCCAAACUCCUACGGGAGGCAGCAGUGAGGAAUAUUGGUCAAUGGGCGAAAGCCUGAACCAGCCAUGUCGCGUGAAGGAAUGAAGGUCCUAUGGAUUGUAAACUUCUUUUGCAGGAGGGUAAAGUGAGCUACGUGUAGUUCAUUGCAAGUACCCUGCGAAUAAGCAUCGGCUAACUCCGUGCCAGCAGCCGC